UACGGAGGGGGCUAGCGUUGUUCGGAAUUACUGGGCGUAAAGCGCACGUAGGUGGCUUUGUAAGUUAGAGGUGAAAGCCCGGGGCUCAACUCCGGAAUUGCCUUUAAGACUGCAUCGCUAGAACGUCGGAGAGGUAAGUGGAAUUCCGAGUGUAGAGGUGAAAUUCGUAGAUAUUCGGAAGAACACCAGUGGCGAAGGCGGCUUGCCAGAACGCGCUCGACGGUGAGGGAUGAAAGCUGGGGGAGCAAACCGG
This 253-nucleotide ribosomal RNA is filed under the name uncultured bacterium. RNAcentral's name for it is "partial 16S ribosomal RNA". It matches the Rfam family "Bacterial small subunit ribosomal RNA", at positions 524 to 776 of the family's 1533-position model. The record is from RNAcentral.